Molecule: ribosomal RNA, 465 nt
Filed under: uncultured bacterium
Lineage: Bacteria
Description: bacterial SSU rRNA
Rfam family: Bacterial small subunit ribosomal RNA
Source: RNAcentral
CUACGGGAGGCAGCAGUGGGGAAUUUUGGACAAUGGGGGAAACCCUGAUCCAGCCAUUCCGCGUGAGUGAAGAAGGCCUUCGGGUUGUAAAGCUCUUUCGGCAGGAACGAAACGGUGGCCCCUAAUACGGGUUACUAAUGACGGUACCUGAAGAAGAAGCACCGGCUAACUACGUGCCAGCAGCCGCGGUAAUACGUAGGGUGCGAGCGUUAAUCGGAAUUACUGGGCGUAAAGCGUGCGCAGGCGGUUAUGUAAGACAGGUGUGAAAUCCCCGGGCUUAACCUGGGAACUGCGCUUGUGACUGCAUAACUCGAGUGUGGCAGAGGGGGGUGGAAUUCCACGUGUAGCAGUGAAAUGCGUAGAGAUGUGGAGGAACACCGAUGGCGAAGGCAGCCCCCUGGGUCAACACUGACGCUCAUGCACGAAAGCGUGGGUAGCAAACAGGAUUAGAUACCCCUGUAGUCU